AACGAACGCUGGCGGCACGCCUAACACAUGCAAGUCGAACGAGACCUUCGGGUCUAGUGGCGCACGGGUGCGUAACGCGUGGGAACCUGCCCUUAGGUUCGGAAUAACUCCCCGAAAGGGGUGCUAAUACCGGAUAAUGUCUUCGGACCAAAGAUUUAUCGCCUUUGGAUGGGCCCGCGUUGGAUUAGCUAGUUGGUAGGGUAAAAGCCUACCAAGGCGACGAUCCAUAGCUGGUCUGAGAGGAUGAUCAGCCACACUGGGACUGAGACACGGCCCAGACUCCUACGGGAGGCAGCAGUGGGGAAUAUUGGACAAUGGGCGAAAGCCUGAUCCAGCAAUGCCGCGUGAGUGAUGAAGGCCUUAGGGUUGUAAAGCUCUUUUACCCGGGAUGAUAAUGACAGUACCGUGAGAAUAAGCUCCGGCUAACUCCGUG
This 433-nucleotide ribosomal RNA is filed under the name uncultured bacterium. RNAcentral describes it as "partial 16S ribosomal RNA". It matches the Rfam family "Bacterial small subunit ribosomal RNA", at positions 29 to 507 of the family's 1533-position model. The record is from RNAcentral.